This 265-nucleotide ribosomal RNA is filed under the name Stenotrophomonas bentonitica. RNAcentral's name for it is "partial 16S ribosomal RNA". It matches the Rfam family "Bacterial small subunit ribosomal RNA", at positions 515 to 779 of the family's 1533-position model. The record is from RNAcentral. Lineage: Bacteria; Pseudomonadati; Pseudomonadota; Gammaproteobacteria; Lysobacterales; Lysobacteraceae.
CCGCGGUAAUACGAAGGGUGCAAGCGUUACUCGGAAUUACUGGGCGUAAAGCGUGCGUAGGUGGUUGUUUAAGUCUGUUGUGAAAGCCCUGGGCUCAACCUGGGAAUUGCAGUGGAUACUGGGCGACUAGAGUGUGGUAGAGGGUAGUGGAAUUCCUGGUGUAGCAGUGAAAUGCGUAGAGAUCAGGAGGAACAUCCAUGGCGAAGGCAGCUACCUGGACCAACACUGACACUGAGGCACGAAAGCGUGGGGAGCAAACAGGAUU